Molecule: ribosomal RNA, 380 nt
Filed under: uncultured eukaryote
Lineage: Eukaryota
Description: partial 18S ribosomal RNA
Rfam family: Eukaryotic small subunit ribosomal RNA
Source: RNAcentral
CAAUAGCGUAUAUUAAAGUUGUUGCGGUUAAAAAGCUCGUAGUUGGAGUUCUGCCAGGUGACACUCGUCCGCCCAAGUGGUGUGUACAGGGUGUGCAUCUGGCCCUUUCAAGGGGAACGUGUCUGCACUUCAUUGUGUGGUGCGAGAUCCUUGACUUUUACUUUGAGGAAAUAAGAGUGUUCCAAGCAGGCUCUCGUCGUGCAUAGCUCAGCAUGGAAUAAUAGCAUUGGACUUCGUUUCUACGCUGUUGGUUGCAAGAAGCGAGGUAAUGAUGAAGAGGGAUAGUUGGGGGCAUUCGUAUUUAACUGUCAGAGGUGAAGUUCUUGGAUUUGUUAAAGACGGACUACUGCGAAAGCAUCUGCCAUGGAUGUUUUCAUUGA